CGGAGAGGGAGCAUGAGAAACGGCUACCACUUCUAAGGAAGGCAGCAGGCGCGCAAAUUACCCAAUCCUGACUCAGGGAGGUAGUGACAAGAAAUAACAAUAAACCGGCUUAUGCCGGUUUAAUUGGAAUGAGUACAAUUUAAACAUCUUAACGAGGAACAAUUGGAGGGCAAGUCUGGUGCCAGCAGCCGCGGUAAUUCCAGCUCCAAUAGCGUAUACUAAAGUUGUUGCAGUUAAAAAGCUCGUAGUUGGAUUUCUGCGGGGACGGAGCGGCCGGUCGCAACUUGCGACUCGAGCUAGCGCUUUCCCCGCAUCCUGCCGCGAACCGUGCUACCAUUAGUUUGGUGGCGCUGGGGAUCGGCUCGAUUACUUUGAGAAAAAUAGAGUGUUCAAAGCAGGCCACACGCCUUGAAUAAGUUAGCAUGGAAUAAUGACUAAGGACUUCGGUUCUAUUUUGUUGGUGUUCGGGACUGAAGUAAUGAUUGAUAGGGACAGUUGGGGCGGUCUGUAUUCCAAAGCGAGAGGUGAAAUUCUUAGACCUUCGGAAGACAAACAGCUGCGAAAGCGUUCCGCAAGGAUGUUCCCUUUGAUCAAGAACGAAAGUUGGGGGAUCGAAGACGAUCAGAUACCGUCGUAGUCUCAACUAUAAACUAUACCAGCUAGGGAUCGGUCAACGUUUAAUUAUUCGACUUGAUCGGCACCUUAUGAGAAAUCAAAGCAUCUGGGUUCCGGGGGGAGUAUGGUCGCAAGGCUGAAACUUAAAGGAAUUGACGGAAGGGCACCACCAGCCGUGGAGCCUGUGGCUUAAUUUGACUCAACACGGGAAAACUUACCAGGUCCAGACAUAGUAAGGAUUGACAGAUUGAUAGCUCUUUCUUGAUUCUGUGGGUGGUGGUGCAUGGCCGUUCUUAGUUGGUGGAGUGAUUUGUCUGGUUAAUUCCGUUAACGAACGAGACCCCAGCCUGCUAAAUAGCGCGGCUGAGCUUUGCUCGGUGCGAGCUUCUUAGAGGGACUAUGAUGCGCGAUAGCACAUGGAAGUUUGGGGCAAUAACAGGUCUGUGAUGCCCUUAGAUGUUCUGGGCCGCACACGGGCUACACUGGCGCCUGCAACGAGCAUAUCAGCUGGCCCGAGAGGGUCUUGGCUAAUCUUUUGAACCGGCGCCGUGCUUGGGAUUGACCUUUGCAAUUGUUGGUCAUGCAACGAGGAAUGCCUUGUAAACGCGAGUCAUCAGCUCGCAUUGAAUACGUCCCUGCCCUUUGUACACACCGCCCGUCGCCCCUACCGAUGAAUGUUCCGAUGAAAUUUUCGGAGAGCGCCAGAGAACGGGGCUCUGCCUUGCAGAUCUGGAGGCUCAAAGUCACUUAAAUCUGAACAUUUCGAGGAAGGAGAAGUCGUAACAAGGUAACC
RNAcentral lists this ribosomal RNA (1408 nucleotides) under uncultured Rhizaria. RNAcentral's name for it is "SSU rRNA". It matches the Rfam family "Eukaryotic small subunit ribosomal RNA", at positions 384 to 1804 of the family's 1831-position model. The record is from RNAcentral.